RNAcentral lists this long non-coding RNA (205 nucleotides) under Phoenix dactylifera (date palm). RNAcentral describes it as "long non-coding RNA (PDAC_LNC012501)". Lineage: Eukaryota; Viridiplantae; Streptophyta; Magnoliopsida; Arecales; Arecaceae. The record is from RNAcentral.
GCCCGCGCGCACACUUCUUUGAGCACGGCCCAAGGCCACUUGGCCGCAGGCUCUGUUUCAGGCUCGAUCCACAGAUCCAGGCCCAUCGCUCCAGCUAGCUCCACCAGGCGCCAAUUUCGUGUUCGAGACUCUACAACGGACGCUUCCAGUUGACUGCAUACGCCAUAGGCAACAGGUUCUUCUUUCUUUUGGCCUUGUUUAUCUA